CUGAAAACACCAUCGAGUGCACCCAUCAAAAGUUCAUGCAAAGAAGUGCGUAUGUACCUCAAUAAUCAUGGGAAAUGUGGUGUGUGAGGAACCUGUGGUGCAUAAGGAUACAGGGUGAUACUGCCGAGGCCAGGAGAAGUAUAGUCUUGCCCGAUACCUUCCAGGGUGUUUGUGGAAGAAUAAGAGUUUGAUCUGUAUAACUGAGUUGGAUCCAGAUCUUAGACCACAUUUCAGCUCACCACCUGAACACCCCACUUCUGUAUUAUAAUGCAAUGAAAAUAAAAUAUUGGUGAGUUCA
RNAcentral lists this long non-coding RNA (298 nucleotides) under Haliotis rubra (blacklip abalone). RNAcentral describes it as "uncharacterized LOC124258675, transcript variant X1". The record is from RNAcentral. Lineage: Eukaryota; Metazoa; Mollusca; Gastropoda; Lepetellida; Haliotidae.